GCGGACGGGUGAGGAAUACAUCGGAAUUUGCCCAGUCGUGGGGGAUAACGUAGGGAAACUUACGCUAAUACCGCAUACGACCGAGAGGUGAAAGCGGGGGAUCUUCGGACCUCGCGCGAGUGGAUGAGCCGAUGUCGGAUUAGCUAGUUGGCGGGGUAAGGGCCCACCAAGGCGACGAUCCGUAGCUGGUCUGAGAGGAUGAUCAGCCACACUGGGACUGAGACACGGCCCAGACUCCUACGGGAGGCAGCAGUGGGGAAUAUUGGACAAUGGGGGCAACCCUGAUCCAGCAAUGCCGCGUGUGUGAAGAAGGCCUUCGGGUUGUAAAGCACUUUUAUCCGGAACGAAACGCGCCAGGUGAAUAGCUUGGGAACUGACGGUACCGGAGGAAUAAGCACCGGCUAACUUCGUGCCAGCAGCCGCGGUAAUACGAAGGGUGCAAGCGUAACUCGGAAUUACUGGGCGUAAAGGGUGCGUAGGCGGGUCCUUAAGUCAGGGGUGAAAUCCUGGAGCUCAAUCCAGAAAUGCCUUUGAUACUGAGGAUCUUGAGUUCGGGAGAGGUGAGUGGAAACUGCGAGUUGUACGAGGUGGAAUUU
Molecule: ribosomal RNA, 596 nt
Filed under: uncultured bacterium
Lineage: Bacteria
Description: bacterial SSU rRNA
Rfam family: Bacterial small subunit ribosomal RNA
Source: RNAcentral